AGAAUCAACGCUGGCGGCGUGCCUAACACAUGCAAGUCGAACGAGAAAGUGGAGCAAUCCAUGAGUAAAGUGGCGACCGGGUGAGUAACACGUGACUAACCUACCUUCGAGUGGGGGAUAACCUCGGGAAACCGAGGCUAAUACCGCAUAACAUCGCAAGAUCAAAGCAGCAAUGCGCUGGAAGAGGGGGUCGCGGCUGAUUAGCUAGUUGGCGGGGUAACGGCCCACCAAGGCGAAGAUCGGUAGCCGGCCUGAGAGGGCGCACGGCCACACUGGAACUGAAACACGGUCCAGACUCCUACGGGAGGCAGCAGUGGGGAAUUUUGCGCAAUGGGGGAAACCCUGACGCAGCAACGCCGCGUGGAGGAUGAAGCCCUUGGGGCGUAAACUCCUUUCGACCAAGACGAUAAUGACGGUACUGGUGGAAGAAGCACCGGCUAACUCUGCGCCAGCAGCCGC
This 459-nucleotide ribosomal RNA is filed under the name uncultured bacterium. Its description in RNAcentral is "SSU rRNA". It matches the Rfam family "Bacterial small subunit ribosomal RNA", at positions 26 to 518 of the family's 1533-position model. The record is from RNAcentral.